GAACGAUGAACCACUUCGGUGGGGAUUAGUGGCGAACGGGUGAGUAACACGUGGGCAAUCUGCCCUGCACUCUGGGACAAGCCCUGGAAACGGGGUCUAAUACCGGAUACUGAUCACUGCAGGCAUCUGUGGUGUUCGAAAGCUCCGGCGGUGCAGGAUGAGCCCGCGGCCUAUCAGCUUGUUGGUGAGGUAAUGGCUCACCAAGGCGACGACGGGUAGCCGGCCUGAGAGGGCGACCGGCCACACUGGGACUGAGACACGGCCCAGACUCCUACGGGAGGCAGCAGUGGGGAAUAUUGCACAAUGGGCGCAAGCCUGAUGCAGCGACGCCGCGUGAGGGAUGACGGCCUUCGGGUUGUAAACCUCUUUCAGCAGGGAAGAAGCGAAAGUGACGGUACCUGCAGAAGAAGCGCCGGCUAACUACGUGCCAGCAGCCGCGGUAAUACGUAGGGCGCGAGCGUUGUCCGGAAUUAUUGGGCGUAAAGAGCUCGUAGGCGGCUUGUCACGUCGGUUGUGAAAGCCCGGGGCUUAACCCCGGGUCUGCAGUCGAUACGGGCAGGCUAGAGUUCGGUAGGGGAGAUCGGAAUUCCUGGUGUAGCGGUGAAAUGCGCAGAUAUCAGGAGGAACACCGGUGGCGAAGGCGGAUCUCUGGGCCGAUACUGACGCUGAGGAGCGAAAGCGUGGGGAGCGAACAGGAUUAGAUACCCUGGUAGUCCACGCCGUAAACGGUGGGCACUAGGUGUGGGCAACAUUCCACGUUGUCCGUGCCGCAGCUAACGCAUUAAGUGCCCCGCCUGGGGAGUAC
This 805-nucleotide ribosomal RNA is filed under the name Streptomyces sp. RNAcentral describes it as "bacterial SSU rRNA". It matches the Rfam family "Bacterial small subunit ribosomal RNA", at positions 64 to 883 of the family's 1533-position model. Lineage: Bacteria; Bacillati; Actinomycetota; Actinomycetes; Kitasatosporales; Streptomycetaceae. The record is from RNAcentral.